This 63-nucleotide transfer RNA is filed under the name Cavia porcellus (domestic guinea pig). It matches the Rfam family "tRNA". From Rfam's summary of the family: Transfer RNA (tRNA) molecules are approximately 80 nucleotides in length. Their secondary structure includes four short double-helical elements and three loops (D, anti-codon, and T loops). The record is from Rfam by way of RNAcentral. Lineage: Eukaryota; Metazoa; Chordata; Mammalia; Rodentia; Caviidae.
GGGGAUUUAGCUCAGUGGCAUAAGUGCCUGCCUUGCAAGCAGGAGUCAUGAGUUCAAUCCCUG